Molecule: ribosomal RNA, 465 nt
Filed under: uncultured bacterium
Lineage: Bacteria
Description: partial 16S ribosomal RNA
Rfam family: Bacterial small subunit ribosomal RNA
Source: RNAcentral
CCUACGGGAGGCAGCAGUGGGGAAUAUUGCGCAAUGGGCGAAAGCCUGACGCAGCGACGCCGCGUGAGGGAUGAAGGUCUUCGGAUCGUAAACCUCUGUCAGCAGGGAAGAACGGUCACUGUGCUAAUCAGCAGUGAAUUGACGGUACCUGCAAAGGAAGCACCGGCUAACUCCGUGCCCGCAGCCGCGGUAAUACGGAAGGGGCGAGCGUUAAUCGGAAUUACUGGGCGUAAAGGGCUCGUAGGCGGUAUGUCAAGUCAAGGGUGAAAUCCCCGCGCUCAACGUGGGAACUGCCUUUGAAACUGGCAAACUGGAGUGUGCGAGAGGAUAGUGGAAUGCCAGGUGUAGGAGUGAAAUCCGUAGAUAUCUGGAGGAACAUCAGUGGCGAAGGCGACUAUCUGGCACAUAACUGACGCUGAGGAGCGAAAGCGUGGGUAGCAAACAGGAUUAGAUACCCCAGUAGUC